UAGGAUGUGGCUGCGGUUGAUUAGGUAGACGGUGGGGUAACNGCCCACCGUGCCCAUAAUCAGUACAGGUUGUGAGAGCAAGAACCUGGAGACGGAAUCUGAGACAAGAUUCCGGGCCCUACGGGGCGCAGCAGGCGCGAAACCUUUACACUGCACGCACGUGCGAUAAGGGGACUCCGAGUGCGAGGGCAUAUUGUCCUCGCUUUCGUGUACCGUAGGGUGGUACACCAACAAGGGCUGGGCAAGACCGGUGCCAGCCGCCGCGGUAAUACCGGCAGCCCGAGUGAUGGCCGAUCUUAUUGGGCCUAAAGCGUCCGUAGCUGGCUACGCAAGUCCGUCGGGAAAUCCACUCGCCCAACGAGUGGGCGUCCGACGGAAACUGCAUAGCUUGGGACCGGAAGGCUCGAAGGGUACGUUCGGGGUAGGAGUGAAAUCCCAUAAUCCCGCACGGACCACCGAUGGCGAAAGCACUUCGAGAAAACGGAUCCGACAGUGAGGGACGAAAGCCAGGGUCUCCAACCGGAUUAGAUACCCGGGUAGUCCUGGCCGUAAACAAUGUUCGCUAGGUAUGACACAGACUACGCGUCUCUGUUGUGCCGUAGGGAAGCCGAGAAGCGAACCGCCUGGGAAGUACGUCUGCAAGGAUGAAACUUAAAGGAAUUGGCGGGGGAGCACUACAACCGGAGGAGCCUGCGGUUUAAUUGGAUUCAA
RNAcentral lists this ribosomal RNA (711 nucleotides) under uncultured archaeon. Its description in RNAcentral is "bacterial SSU rRNA". It matches the Rfam family "Archaeal small subunit ribosomal RNA", at positions 205 to 915 of the family's 1478-position model. The record is from RNAcentral.